ACGGGAGGCAGCAGUGAGGAAUAUUGGUCAAUGGACGAGAGUCUGAACCAGCCAAGUAGCGUGCAGGAUGACGGCCCUAUGGGUUGUAAACUGCUUUUGUACGGGAAUAAAGUGGCCCACGUGUGGGUUUUUGCAUGUACCGUAAGAAUAGGACCGGCUAAUUCCGUGCCAGCAGCCGCGGUAAUACGGAAGGUCCGGGCGUUAUCCGGAUUUAUUGGGUUUAAAGGGAGCGUAGGCCGUGCUUUAAGCGUAUUGUGAAAUGUAGGCGCCCAACGUCUGCACUGCAGCGCGAACUGGAGCACUUGAGUACGCAGGAAGUAGGCGGAAUUCGUCGUGUAGCGGUGAAAUGCGUAGAUAUGACGAAGAACUCCGAUUGGGAAGCCAGCUUACUGUAGCGCCACUGACGCUGAUGCUCGAAAGCGUGGGGAGCAAACAGGAUUAGAUACCCUGGUA
RNAcentral lists this ribosomal RNA (453 nucleotides) under uncultured Prevotella sp. Its description in RNAcentral is "partial 16S ribosomal RNA". It matches the Rfam family "Bacterial small subunit ribosomal RNA", at positions 341 to 792 of the family's 1533-position model. Lineage: Bacteria; Pseudomonadati; Bacteroidota; Bacteroidia; Bacteroidales; Prevotellaceae. The record is from RNAcentral.